UUAACUAAAAUUUGUAUUGAGUUGGAACGUAAGCCUACGUUUGCCGAUAGGGGCGCUAUUCCAACUGCAUAAAAAUUUAAGUUA
Molecule: microRNA precursor, 84 nt
Filed under: Bombyx mori (domestic silkworm)
Lineage: Eukaryota; Metazoa; Arthropoda; Insecta; Lepidoptera; Bombycidae
Description: mir-2807 microRNA precursor family
Rfam family: mir-2807 microRNA precursor family
Source: Rfam by way of RNAcentral